Molecule: ribosomal RNA, 305 nt
Filed under: uncultured bacterium
Lineage: Bacteria
Description: partial 16S ribosomal RNA
Rfam family: Bacterial small subunit ribosomal RNA
Source: RNAcentral
GAGUCCCUACGGGAGGCAGCAGUGGGGGAUAUUGCACAAUGGGGGGAACCCUGAUGCAGCGACGCCGCGUGGGUGAAGAAGCGGUUCGGCGCGUAAAUCCCUGUCAGCAGGGAAGAAGAAGGACGGUACCUGACCAAGAAGCCCCGGCUAACUACGUGCCAGCAGCCGCGGUAAUACGUAGGGGGUAAGCGUUAUCCGGAUUUACUGGGUGUAAAGGGGGCGCAGACGGCGAUGCAAGCCAGGAGUGAAAGCCCGGGGCCCAACCCCGGGACUGCUCUUGGAACUGCGUGGCGGGGGGGCAGGAG